Olea europaea var. sylvestris is the source of this 1528-nucleotide long non-coding RNA. RefSeq lists it as uncharacterized. The record is from RefSeq and is a predicted model, not a curated record. The transcript is spliced from 3 exons. Lineage: Eukaryota; Viridiplantae; Streptophyta; Magnoliopsida; Lamiales; Oleaceae.
AACAAAAAACAAAAAAUGUUAAAACCCAGCUCAAACCCCAAACUUAAAUAAGUCUCUCUCAAUCUCUCUCACAAUAUCUACUCCCUGUUUCUUUUACAGUCGCCGGAACACCAGAUGCACCGUACUAGCUCUCAAUUUUUUUAGAUAGGUUCAAUUUCAAGAAAUUUGCUUCUCCAUUGUUUCAAGUUCUUACUAAUUUUUACUCAAAUACCCACGGGCGGAGCCAUUCCUUGGGAAUGUGGAAAUUUUCGUAGGCUGAAUUUUUUUGGCCGUUAUUGAGGAAAUGGGUGUUGAUAUGGUUGAUAAAUUGAAACCAAGCAUUUCAGAGAUAAGAGUAUUUCAUACAAAUCCAGUGCAAACCAUGUUAUAGAAUGUUAUGGACACCAUAGAUGUAGUAUGGAUAUCAAUUUGUUAUACAGGUGAAUCUGAGCAAUCAGUUAAAGGUGUAUGGAAAUGAAAAUAUGCAAGGAAUGGCUCAUUUGGCUUAUUCUGAAUCAGUGUCUAAAAGCUCACAGCAUGGUUAAGGUGUACAAUUUGCGCCAUUCAAAACCUCUACAGGUCCACUGAAGGUGGUGUGGUGGUGUUGCUUGGGAAUUUGGAUACAUGGAUGAUAGAAGUCAAAAACCUGCCAAAUAUGGAUUUUUUCCACAAUCUAAGUCAUAAAUUCUGUGGAUUUCCUGUGAGUUUCAGUAGUAAAACAGAAGGAAACGCUUCUAAGAAGAAUACCAGUGAUCGUUGUCACAAUUUCAGUAGCUGGUGCAGUAAGUGGUAGAACUUUUGUGAUUAUUGACACUGAAAAUCCUGUUUGGAUGCAGCAUUUUCAUGUUCCGGUUGCACAUUAUGCUGCACUGCAGAAGUGCACUUUGUGGUUAAAGUCAGUAAUGUCGUGGGCUCAGAGAUUAUGGGGGCUGUUGGAAUCCCGGUAGAGCAGACAAUCUCAGGGCAUAGAGUCGAGAGUACUUUUCUGGUACUCAAUGAAAGUAGGAGGUUGUUUUGAGCCUGUACAUUAAGUAUACUCCGAUGGAGAAAGUGUCCCUCUAUCAUGGUGGAGCAGUAUCAGAUCUUGGGUAUCAGAGCGUGCCUGGUACAUAUUUUCUUCUUAGGAGAGGAGGAACACUAAAACUUUAUCAAGAUGCACGUGCCUUCCAAAGUUAUUGCUGGCAAAUUACACAUCGUAUCAGCAUGGACAUUGCUGGCAUUAUAUUUAUGAUUCAAUUAGUCAGGCUAAUCGUUUAGUUUGCAUUACAGGUUGGUCUGUUUACCACCUAGUUCAACUAGUUAGGGAUGAUGAGAAUGCAACACAUAGCACUUUGGGAGAGAUGCUGAAAGUCAAGUCUCAAGAAGGUGUGUGAGGGUCCUGCUCCUUGUAUGGGAUGAUCCUACAUCUAGGAGCAUUUUUGGGCAUAAAUCUGUAUGAAGCAACUAUGAUGGUCUUCUUUUUGUUAAAAAAUCGUUGAAUAUAUGACACGUUACAGAGAAGUUGGUGUUUCCCUUUUAUGAAAUGAUCUAUAUAUAAAACCUUUAGCUA